Molecule: ribosomal RNA, 301 nt
Filed under: uncultured bacterium
Lineage: Bacteria
Description: partial 16S ribosomal RNA
Rfam family: Bacterial small subunit ribosomal RNA
Source: RNAcentral
CAGUAGCCACGGGAAUACGUAGGGUGCAAGCUUUAAUCGGAAUUACUGGGCGUAAAGCGUGCGCAGGCGGUUAUAUAAGACAGAUGUGAAAUCCCCGGGCUCAACCUGGGAACUGCAUUUGUGACUGUAUAGCUAGAGUACGGCAGAUGGGGAUGGAAUUCCGCGUGUAGCAGUGAAAUGCGUAGAUAUGCGGAGGAACACCGAUGGCGAAGGCAAUCCCCUGGGCCUGUACUGACGCUCAUGCACGAAAGCGUGGGGAGCAAACAGGAUUAGAUACCCCCGUAGUCCCUGUCUCUUAUAA